AUAUCAUUCACUAAAACUUUAAAAUAUAAGAGAGAUGCCUUUCUAGCCAUAUACUUACUCUGUCUCUUUUUUUCCUCUCACUGUCUCUCUCUUCGCUCAAAAGAAAUAACUAUCUUGGAAUUUUACUGAGUUUAUAAGCCUGCAAAUAAGUUAUACUGAUAUAACGAAAGUCAGGAGGGACAACAUCUGAGCAAGAUAAAUCUGAGGCUACCAGCGGGAUGUUACACUCGGUCUACUGACUCACAUGCAUCUUCUCCAAGAACACCCUCACAGACACACCUGGAGAAGCUCAAGCAUUCUAAUCAAAAUGAAAACCACCUGGAAUUCUCUUUCAGCAGAAGAGGAAUGGGUUCCAUUCCUAUUGAAGCAUUGAGAAUAAAUAACCCUUUACCAGCUACCUGAGUAUUCCUUAAUUCAGUCAAGUUUCAUCCAAAAUCAACUGUUGCAACUUAUUCUGAAAUGUUCAACUAGCUUUACAUUCUUUAGAUUAGGUCCUGCUUGUUCAUGAUAUAUUGUACUUUUGUAUAGAGCUAGAUUUUAUUUAAAAUACUGUGAAGUUUGUUUGAGGCUGAGGUGGGAGAAUCAAUGAGCCCAGGAGGUUGAGGGUGUAGUGAGCCGUGAUUGUGCCACUGUGCUAUCCCCUGGUAACAGAGUGAGACCCUGUCUCAAAUACAUAAAUAAACAAACAAACAAAUAAAUAAAUAAAUAAAUAAAAUUUCUACAUUGUAGCAAAAAAACAAAUAGAAAUUGAAAUCCAAAAUUGUAUAUACAAUUUAAAUUUGAAUUAAAAAGCACAAAGUGCUUACAAAUUUUAAUAAUUUUUGUGUAAGACUAGCACACUAAAAAUUAUGAAAUAAUACUGAAAGGGUGAUAUAAAUAAAUGCAGAGAUUUAUGGUGUUUAUGGAUUGAAAGACUCAAUAUCAUUAAGUUGUUCAUUCUCAAGUCAAUCUGUAGAUUCAAGGUAAGCUUAAUUAAAAUCUCAAGAAAAUUUUUGUUGUUCUUGUCUUGUUACAGUUCUUGUUGCUGAAAAUGAGAAAAGACAAAAGCUUGGCAGAAGUUAUUGAUUAUAUUUAAAUCUAUGGUUAAAUUUACAUAAGAAAAGAUUAAAUGGUGGCAUCAUCAAGAUAGCAGAGUAGGUGAUACCAGGCUUUGUCUUCACCACAAAAAAAGAGAGACAGCUGUUCAAAAACCAAAAUAUCCCCAAGAAAGCUCUAGGGCCUGUAGGAUACAGUAAAUUCCUCUUCAAAGAUUUUAGCCUGUUAACUUCCUUUAACAUUCAAGAGGGGUAAAAUCGUUAAGUACAAUGAGUUCUGAAUUCCUCUUCAGAAAACUAAUGUGUCAGUAUGUUUUGCUUCCCUGUUCUUUGCUCUCCAUUUUAAAGUUUAACUUCCUCGUUCUUAGGCCUCCUUGCCCUUACUUUCAGUAAACAACACCCUGCUAGCCUCUAUCACCUGCGCUGUCCUUAGUCAUCCUUAGUCACCUGCUCUGUAACCGUCCUUCCCACUGAAACUACUCAUCCCACCACUCUGGCUCGUACCCCUGCCGUCUUUGAAACAGCCAAUCUGAAUUAGCUUAGACUGUGCAGUCCAACCCUAGCCAAUAGGGGAAAGAAACAGCAGUAGGGAUUAACUGCUUUAGGGAUAAGAAUCCCUUCCCCUCCCUUGUCCAGUGUGCUCUCCCCAUUGCUCCAUCUGCGAGACACACCCUUCUAUAGAAGUAAAUUUGCCGCCGGGCAUGGUGGCUCACGCCUGUAAUCCCAGAACUUUGGGAGGCGGAGGCGGCCGGAUCACAUG
Molecule: long non-coding RNA, 1794 nt
Filed under: Homo sapiens (human)
Lineage: Eukaryota; Metazoa; Chordata; Mammalia; Primates; Hominidae
Description: HSALNT0186164
Source: RNAcentral